This is a long non-coding RNA of Alexandromys fortis (reed vole), 2355 nucleotides long. RefSeq lists it as uncharacterized. The transcript is spliced from 3 exons. The record is from RefSeq and is a predicted model, not a curated record. NCBI's taxonomy places the organism in Eukaryota, Metazoa, Chordata, Mammalia, Rodentia, Cricetidae.
GCCAGCCCAACAGCACCUACAGUGUGGUGACUCACGCAGAGCAGUAACUUGGCAGUGCAAGGCGAGCUGUGUGCAGGAACCCGGCACGUGUCGUGUGGCGUGGAAGAGUGAGCAGGCAGUCAGCCUCGGAACGUUCUAUGAGCCGUGACAUCGGCUCGAUUCCACGGUGAGGGCGAUGGCAGACCACUCACAGUUACGAUCGGUGGAGACUGCAUCCUCCAGUUGACUGCUCCAAACUGCUGCCUCAGACUGCAUCUAAGCUCCUGUCUCCUCCUGCCUCAUAGUCCUCUCUCCUUCCAGCCACAUCCUUUCCUGUGUUAGGAUAUAUCCACCUCCCUAGUGUUAGGAUUAAAGGGGCAGCCCUGGAGCAAGGUCAAUUUCGUGACCUCCUUCCUGCCACCCCGCCCCCUCCUGACUCUCUCAGCUCCCCAGAGGCUGCUAAACUGCGACAACUGCAGCUGCUACUGUUUCCUGACUCUGGAGGAGAAAGCAGGCUUAGGGCCAGGUCUACUGUCCAGGGCUUCCAUGGAAGAUGCUGGAGGAGAGCAGCACCUCGUCUGUCAACAUCACUGACCUCUGCAGAGCAUCUGGACUGCAGCAUGCACAGUCCAGAGGUUCAGCCUGUGCUUUUCUGCUCCUGGCUUGGUUAUUCAAACCAAGCACUGGGAAGGCCGUGGUGGAGGUGGUGGUGGAGGUGAUGGCUGCGGUGGUGGCUGUCCUAGCACUUGGGAAGCAGAGGUAGGGGGAUCUCUGUGAGUUUGAGGCCAGUCUGGUCUACAAAGUAAGUGCCAGGACAGCCAGGGCUGUUACGUGGAGAGACCCUGUCUUGAAAAAACAAACAAACAAAAACAAAACAAAAAAGAAACAACAAGAAAAAAACCACAAGCUCUGGGUCCUUACUCUGGUAUUCAAGCAGAGAGUUGGCCGUCAAAUGCGAAUACGAAUGCGAAUACGAAUUAAGCAUCAUCCUCUCCUCCAGGCUGUUGGGACUAAGGGAUGCAUAUUAACCACCCCGUUCCCUGAACACUGUACCCUUCACCAGAGCUUGCACACUUCUUCUGGAUCCAAUAAUAUCUUUGCCCCUAUCGAAUAAAUCCAGGUUGACGCUUACAUUUCAGCUCGUAGUCGCAGCAUGCUGCAGAGUGAGUUCCUGUACUGGGAGAGGCUGGGGAGACAACACCUUGUCCUUAACCCAUCUCAGGAUUCUGUGCCCAAGAUCCGCAGUGUGGGCAGUGGUACACUGGAAGACAAGUAAGCUUUCAUCUGUCUCUAGCUCUGAGUGACAACCUCUUGUUGGGUGGGUGGGUAUGGCAGACGUGGUUGAGAGAACACAGAGCUGGGCUGAUAGAUAGAACUACAUGGGGGUGAAUUAGAUCACUAGAUUCCUGGGCACAGGCCCGAGCCUCAUCCUUCUGAUUCUAGAGGAAGCUUCAAAAUAGAGCAAGCAUUUAUGUUUUGUUUUCCUCUGUAAUUUUGGAGCCUAUCCUGGAACUAGUUCUUGUAGACCAGGCUGACCUCAAACUCACAGAGAUCUACCUGCCUCUGAGUGCUGGGAUUAAGGGCAUGCACCUACUGCCUGGCAAGCAAGGAUGCUUUUGUCCAACAGGUAUUUAUGAACGUCGUUACUUGACUGGCACUGAUACCUGAUGUGCUGGGUGCUGGUGGGCAGGGUCCUGUGUAGAUGAUUAUGAGGUGAAGAGGAGAUUUACUAGGACACUAAGAGUUCAGCAGAAAGAAGAGAGGUGGAGCUCAGCUGGUAGUGUGCCUGGCUAGCAUGCAAUGCACGAAGCCUGGGACUGACCCCUAGUACCCCAUAAACUAUGUGUGGUGGUACCAGCCUGUAAUUCUAGCACUGAGGAGGUCGAGGCAGGAAAAACCGAAGUUUGAGGUCAUCCUUGGUUACAUAGUGACUUUGAGGUCAGUGGGGGCUUUAUGAGAUUGCCUCUAGAAGAGGAGUCAUUGGGUGAGAGCAACGAUUCCCUCAUCCAAAACCAACCUCUGAACAGGCGGUACACCGAAGACCUUCCUAGGCGGGAAGAAUGCUUCACCACGGAUGACAGCCAAGGUGGCUCCCAGGAUGAAGCCCUCCAAAUCACUAUGUUGCCAGCAGGCUAGCAAGGCUGAAGAGACAAGAGGUUGACAGACUAGUCACUUCUGAAGUCGGUCACAUAAGUUACGGUGGAGGAAGGCUAGGACGCUCCAAGACGAGGCCCUAUUCUACUCCCCAAGGGACAUUUAGUCAAUAGCUUAGGCUAGGUAGGUACCUCGGGGCUAGGCAGAGGGCUAGCUAGCAAACACCAUGGGGAAGCCUAGCGUGAUCUGAGACCUGGAGGAUACUAACUUAGAAUCCUGAGA